Molecule: ribosomal RNA, 465 nt
Filed under: Vreelandella stevensii
Lineage: Bacteria; Pseudomonadati; Pseudomonadota; Gammaproteobacteria; Oceanospirillales; Halomonadaceae
Description: partial 16S ribosomal RNA
Rfam family: Bacterial small subunit ribosomal RNA
Source: RNAcentral
CCUACGGGGGGCAGCAGUGGGGAAUAUUGGACAAUGGGCGAAAGCCUGAUCCAGCCAUGCCGCGUGUGUGAAGAAGGCCUUCGGGUUGUAAAGCACUUUCAGUGGGGAAGAAAGCCUUGGGGCUAAUACCCUCGAGGAAGGACAUCACCCACAGAAGAAGCACCGGCUAACUCCGUGCCAGCAGCCGCGGUAAUACGGAGGGUGCGAGCGUUAAUCGGAAUUACUGGGCGUAAAGCGCGCGUAGGCGGUCUGAUAAGCCGGUUGUGAAAGCCCCGGGCUCAACCUGGGAACGGCAUCUGGAACUGUCAGGCUAGAGUGCAGGAGAGGAAGGUAGAAGUCCCGGUGUAGCGGUGAAAUGCGUAGAGAUCGGGAGGAAUACCAGUGGCGAAGGCGGCCUUCUGGACUGACACUGACGCUGAGGUGCGAAAGCGUGGGUAGCAAACAGGAUUAGAUACCCGAGUAGUC